RNAcentral lists this ribosomal RNA (736 nucleotides) under uncultured bacterium. RNAcentral describes it as "bacterial SSU rRNA". It matches the Rfam family "Bacterial small subunit ribosomal RNA", at positions 28 to 764 of the family's 1533-position model. The record is from RNAcentral.
GAUGAACGCUGGCGGCGUGCCUAAUACAUGCAAGUCGAACGAAGCGCUCUUGCGGAAUUCUUCGGAAGGAAGCAGUUGCGACUGAGUGGCGGACGGGUGAGUAACGCGUGGGCAACCUGCCCUGCACAGGGGGACAACAGCUGGAAACGGCUGCUAAUACCGCAUAAGCGCACGGGGCCGCAUGGCCCAGUGCGAAAAGCGCACACGGUGCAGGAUGGGCCCGCGUCUGAUUAGCUGGUUGGUGGGGCAACGGCCCACCAAGGCGACGAUCAGUAGCCGGCCUGAGAGGGCGGACGGCCACAUUGGGACUGAGACACGGCCCAAACUCCUACGGGAGGCAGCAGUAGGGAAUAUUGCACAAUGGGGGGAACCCUGAUGCAGCGACGCCGCGUGAGUGACGAAGUAUCUCGGUAUGUAAAGCUCUAUCAGCAGGGAAGAAGAUGACGGUACCUGCACAAGAAGCACCGGCUAAAUACGUGCCAGCAGCCGCGGUAAUACGUAUGGUGCAAGCGUUAUCCGGAUUUACUGGGCGUAAAGGGAGCGUAGGCGGACUUGGAAGUCCGAUGUGAAAGCCCGCGGCUCAACCGCGGAUUGGCAUUGGAAACUCCAAUUCUGGAGUAUCGGAGGGGCAGGCGGAAUUCCUGGUGUAGCGGUGAAAUGCGUAGAUAUCAGGAGGAACACCGGUGGCGAAGGCGGCCUGCUGGACGAUGACUGACGCUGAGGCUCGAAAGCGUGG